RNAcentral lists this ribosomal RNA (475 nucleotides) under uncultured bacterium. Its description in RNAcentral is "bacterial SSU rRNA". It matches the Rfam family "Bacterial small subunit ribosomal RNA", at positions 32 to 507 of the family's 1533-position model. The record is from RNAcentral.
AGGACAACGCUGGCGGCGUAGCCUAACACAUGCAAGUCGAACGGAGAUGAUGGGAUAGCUUGCUAUUUAAUCAUCUUAGUGGCGGACGGGUGAGUAACACGUGGGCAACCUGCCCCAAAGAGGGGGAUAACACCGAGAAAUCGGUGCUAAUACCGCAUAACAUUAGAGUUUCGCAUGGAGCUUUAAUCAAAGGAGAAAUCCGCUUUGGGAUGGGCCCGCGUCUGAUUAGCUAGUUGGUGAGGUAACGGCUCACCAAGGCGACGAUCAGUAGCCGAUCUGAGAGGAUGACCGGCCACACUGGAACUGAGACACGGUCCAGACUCCUACGGGAGGCAGCAGUGGGGAAUAUUGCACAAUGGGGGAAACCCUGAUGCAGCAACGCCGCGUGGAGGAAGAAGGUCUUCGGAUUGUAAACUCCUGUCUUCUGGGACGAAUAAUGACGGUACCAGAGGAGGAAGCCACGGCUAACUACGUG